GACGAACGCUGGCGGCGUGCUUAACACAUGCAAGUCGAACGAUGAAGCCCUUUCGGGGGUGGAUUAGUGGCGAACGGGUGAGUAACACGUGAGUAACCUGCCCUUCACUUUGGGAUAACUCUCGGAAACGGGGGCUAAUACCGGAUAUGACUCAGGCCUGCAUGGGUUUGGGUGGAAAGGUUUUUCUGGUGAGGGAUGGGCUCGCGGCCUAUCAGCUUGAUGGUGGGGUGAUGGCCUACCAUGGCGACGACGGGUAGCCGGCCUGAGAGGGUGAUCGGCCACACUGGGACUGAGACACGGCCCAGACUCCUGCGGGAGGCAGCAGUGGGGAAUAUUGCACAAUGGGCGGAAGCCUGAUGCAGCGACGCCGCGUGAGGGAUGAAGGCCUUCGGGUUGUAAACCUCUUUCGCCAGGGAAGAAGGGUGACUGACGGUACCUGGAAAAGAAGCACCGGCUAACUACGUG
This 465-nucleotide ribosomal RNA is filed under the name uncultured organism. RNAcentral describes it as "bacterial SSU rRNA". It matches the Rfam family "Bacterial small subunit ribosomal RNA", at positions 28 to 507 of the family's 1533-position model. The record is from RNAcentral.